GGAUCAUUCUCAGUAAUGCAGUAACACUGAUGUGGUGGUGGUGUGUUGCGCUGGUCUGAGUGGAUCAGACACAGCAGUGCUGCUGAAGUUUGUACACAUGUCCCAGUAAUGAUGUGUAAUUGAUAAACUCCAGAAUCUUCUCUGCUGAUGUUUGUGAUGGUUAAACAUCCACUGGUUCUGUUCAGCUGCUGUAAUAGUCUGUAAUAGUCUCUCCUCUAAUGAUCAGGCUGUUCACUAUCUUUAUAUCUGCAUUCUCAGAUCUAUAGAACCACAGUAUGUGAGCAUCACUCUGAGCUCCAGUUAAUCCAGUAUGGAUGGUUACAGUGUUUCCCUCCAGCUCCUGCAGUCUGACAACCUCUUCUCCAGCUGUGAGCACCAGACCUGAGACACAAGAGGCCCGGGGGGGUGGCCCGGGUUAUUUCCCCCCCUUCUCGGGUAUCGCCCUCCGGCCUUCCUCCGCUGCCAGUGCACCUCCAGGCUCCAUCCAGGACAUCCUUGGAAGGUGACUUCAACUGACAACGGCAACUGUGACGUGGAGUUCCUGAUCGGGAUUUGAACCGAUAACCCCCCCACCACGGGGCAUGGCAUCUACCAGCGAGCCACAGGAUCUCACAAGGCUUUCUUAUUUUUUUUCGACAUUUAUCUCUCAGAUUUCCAACUUGCUGUGUGAAAAGCAGUAGCUUGAGCAAGAUUUGAACCCACAACCUUUUGAGUGCAACUACAUUGCUUUUCUUAGUGAGCCACCGUGGCUCAGGUCCAGCACCUUUUUUUUUGGACAUUUGAUUGAUGAUAAUAAGGAUGCCUGAACAUGAGUUUAAUAGUGAAGAUAUGUGCAUAAGCUACUAUGGCUUGUUUACAGUGAUCUUUUUUGUUUGGAUAUUUGACUUUGAGAUUCCCAAGCUUUCUACUGUUUCUACUGAUGCUUCUAAGACUCUUAGACCAGGAUCAUUAGAGGAAGAGGAAGACUGACUGUUCAGACCUGAAUAAACGGCAGUCUAAAUAAUACAGUC
Molecule: long non-coding RNA, 1010 nt
Organism: Pygocentrus nattereri (red-bellied piranha)
Lineage: Eukaryota; Metazoa; Chordata; Actinopteri; Characiformes; Serrasalmidae
Exons: 2
Source: RefSeq, a predicted model, not a curated record